This 5430-nucleotide unclassified non-coding RNA is filed under the name Ooceraea biroi (clonal raider ant). RNAcentral's name for it is "glutamate receptor ionotropic, kainate 2, transcript variant X5". Lineage: Eukaryota; Metazoa; Arthropoda; Insecta; Hymenoptera; Formicidae. The record is from RNAcentral.
UUAAUCUUUUAAACAUUCACAUGUGCAGUCACGCCAAUAUGUAAGAGAUAAUUAUUACUCGCGAGAUGAUCUCGAGAUUAUUUUUUAUCAGUCGUGAUCACAAAGUUACUACAUUAUUAUGCGAUGUAACGUUAAUAAGGUAAUAGAAUUUCGCUCUCAAUUGAAAUAAGCCACGAUGAUCAUGCGCAAGAGAGCGAGAUAGCAUAUGCGAAGACACGAUCCUAUUACCUACUUCUCGGGCUUGUAUGUGGUCGAAAUAGUCAACCAUGGAAUAGUAUAGCUACGGACUCCGAUAGUGCCGGGUGUUAUAUUUAAGUUUGGUGAUACCGCGAGUUUUCUUCGCAUUUUGCGAACGUUUAUUUCCGGUGAUCUUAAUAACUGUUGAUCAAUUUUGCUUAAUCUACUUUUGAUUUACUUUCAUCAUUUUCAUACUGAUCUAAACGGAGUGGCAGAAAAAUCACUCUUUUAUCUAUACGUGGGUAAAAGAUGUUUAUAGUAGAUCACAUGAAGCUGUCGCGUAGACUACUGGAGCAUUAGCCGCACAACAUCGUUCUACAUUAUAAAAUGAAUGGCCAAGAAAUGCUAUUUUUGUACGUCACUGUUGCAUUUAUGCCCAACAUCUUGGGAUUUCCAAAGAAAAUUCCUAUCGGGGGUUUAUUCGAUAGCGACGAGAUGAUUCAAAAAGCGUUCGAGAUGUCAGUCGAAGCGGUGAACAGAAACAUUACUACCUUCGAACAAGCCAUGAACGUAUCAUUAAUAUCCAAAUCCGAGAAAGUCAACAAGGAUACAUUCCAUGUAGCAAACAUAGCGUGCGAGUUGUUAAGUAGCAAAGUGGCUGGAAUAUUCGGUCCUCAGGAUAAAUCGACGGCAAGUCAUAUUCAAAGUAUGUGCGAUACUUUGGACAUACCUCAUAUUGCUGCCAGAUGGGAUCCCAAACCGAAACGUGGUAAUACGAUAAACCUGUAUCCACAUCCGGACAAACUCUCUAUGGUUUUUUAUGAUCUAGUAAAGGAGUAUAAGUGGAAGGAGUACGCAAUACUUUACGACAACACUGAUAGCCUGAUUCGCAUUAAUCGGCUACUAAAAUUGGCAAACGCAAAUACCGCGUCCGCGAUGGUGUUUCACUUGGGUAGCGGACCAAAUUUUAGGCAAGCCAUGAAAGAAGUCAAAAUGUCUGGCUACAGAAAUAUCAUAAUCGACUGCACGUACGAUAUUCUUGGCACUGUUCUCGAGCAGGCACAACAAGUUGGAAUAAUGUCAGAAAGGCAUAGAGUAAUUAUUACUUCUUUGGAUCUUCAAACUCUGGAUUUAGAACCGUACAAAUAUUCAGGAGUGAAUAUAACUGGCAUACGUUUAAUCGAUCCGGAAAGCUCCGUUGUACGACAUACACUUGAAUCUCAGCCUGUUAAAUGGAACUUGACGGACGGUUCCCACUUAAGGGUGGAAGCGGCACUCGCUUACGAUGCAGUGCAACUUUUCGCGAGUGGUUACACGCGACUACGCGACAGCAUCAAGGGAAACCUCAAGAAGCUAUUUUGCAACCGCAGGGAAACUUGGGGGCACGGCUUCAGCUUGAGUAAUUACAUGCGAAAUGAGCGAAUACAUGGAUUAACAGGCAUGAUAAAGUUUGAUACCGCAGGAUUCCGGAGCGAAUUCCAACUGGAUAUCGUAACUCUAAGUAAUAAAGGGUUGGAAAAGAUCGGAAAAUGGGAGACGAACCUUGGUAUACAUUGGAAAUCGGGAUAUAUAAUUUCUGAAGAAGAUGAAGAAAAAACAUUACGUGACACACAUUUUGUUGUCCUGAUAUCGUUAACAGAUCCGUACGGAAUGCUUAAGGAAUCAGCUUCUAUAUUGACUGGAAACGAUCGAUACGAGGGUUUUGCGGUCGAUAUAAUUCACGAAAUGAGCAAGAUCCUAGGAUUUAAUUACACCCUUGAAGUUCAGAUUGACAACGCGUAUGGAUCGUUAAACCCAAUGACGGGCAAGUGGGACGGCAUGAUAGCAAGACUACUAUCAGGCGAAGCAGAUUUAGCGAUCACGGAUUUGACGAUCACGUCAGAGAGAGAAAGCGCGGUGGAUUUUACAAGUCCGUUCAUGAAUUUAGGUAUAAGCGUUCUCUACAGAAAACCAACGAGCGCUCCUCCAAGCUUGCUGUCCUUCCUGGGGCCGUUCUCGAAGGAAGUUUGGCUGCACCUGAUCGCGGCGUACGUCGUCGUCGUGGCGGUGUUAUACAUUAUCGGCAGACUCUGUCCCAGAGAAUGGAAAAAUCCGUAUCCGUGCAUCAAAGAGCCGGAAGUAUUUGAAACACCCUUCACUUUGGAAGACACCCCGUUCCUCGUGAUUGGAGCUAUACUGAAGGCGCCUACCGGAUUAGCACCUGCAGGAAUUUCAACAAGAGCCUUGGCUGUUGCAUGGUGGUUCUUCGCUCUUAUCAUAACUUCGACUUAUCUGGCUAAUCUGGCAGCCGCAUUAGCUACAAAAUCCGUGGUAUGGCCCUUCGAGGUGGCGGAGCAGCUAGCUUAUCAACAUAAAAUUAAAUACGGCGCAAAGAAGAAAGGGUCAAGCCUCAACUUCUUCAAAGAUUCCUCGCAUGAACCGUACAUGAUUAUGUAUAAGUACAUGAUGGAUAAUGCUGACGAAGUGCUUCUGGAAACGAACGAGGACGGUGUGAGAAAGGUACAGCAAGAAAAUUACGCAUUUAUCAUGGAGUCCUCGACAAUCGAGUAUAACAAGCAGAGAAAAUGUAACAUAACGCAGGUCGGUGGUCUUUUGGACGCCAAGGGCUAUGGAAUAGCCAUGAGGAAAGGAGUGCCUUACCGCACGGAUCUGAGCGGCGCCGUAUUAAAGAUGCAAGAAAGCGGCAUGAUGAACGAGCUGCAGCUUAAAUGGUGGAAACAGAAGCGAGGUGGCAACGUGUGCGAAGAAAAACCGCCAGUCACGGUCGAACCAUUAAACUUUGAAGAUGUCGGUGGAGUGUUUCUAAUUAUGAUAAGUGGCGUUAUGUCGUCCUGGAUUUUCGCAGGAUUGUCGUUCCUGUGGAACAUUCGAAACAACGCGAUCAAACAUAACGUGUCUUAUAAAGAAGAAUUUCUAGAGGAGUUAAAAUUCUUAGCCAAAUGCACUAGGAAGAAGAUCGUCAAGAGAUGUUCCAUCGAGACACUUAAAAGCGAUAACACUGAUUUCUAACAAGUGCCAAGAGUUGUAUCUCUCUGCGGACAGCAAGUCUUAUGUGUAAAAGAGAAAUUAAUCCCAAUAAGACAGAAGUUACCAAAAAGUUUUCUCGGUUAUAACGUUAUUUAUAGAACACGAUACUUUGUCGGCUUAACAACCCUAAGGCAAGGUAAUGAAAACCGGAAAACGUCACGCAAGUUCUACGAAUGCAAGAAGUUUCAUGCAAGUUUCAAGAGACACAAUCAUAUCUCGAGCUAAGUGUCACGCGCAGCAAUGUGGCUGAUGUGCGUCUGUCCGACGCGAACUGCCCAGCUAUAACAAUAAGAAUCUCUUAGUAGAGAAUAAGAAAUCCGUAGUUUGAGAAUUAUAAAUUCUUAAGUUAACAACAGCAGAAGAAGAAAAUUUGUCACAUCUCUUGUGUCGAAAAGUGAGAAAUGAUAUUUUGGAAUUGUGAUUAAAAAUUGCGAAGGAAAGCGAAUUUUUAUCAUAUUUCUCAUGGUAAUAGACAAUACUAAAUAUUAUUAAACAGACAAAUAGACAAAAUUAAAAUUUGAAAUAAUCAAACGAAUAAAUAUAUAGCGCGCGCGCACACACACACAAGUUGAUAUCCUGAUAUUUGUAGAUAUUUAUGCAGUCAGGUACGACUGGCGUUUUGUCCAUUUUACAUGGGGCAUCAUUUUGUUAUAAAUACAAUGUACAUCCGUGGGUAUAGUCAUCCGUGCGUGAUCGAGGCAACAAAGAUCCGGUGGGAAGAUACGCGCAGCGGCGCAUAAUCGCUGCUGGAUAUCCUCGAACGAACGCGGGAUCUGCUCUCCGGCUGUUAAACGAUCAAAGUCGCGCACUCUCCGCCGGGAAUUCGCCUCCGGUUUGCGAGAGAGUCGCACGGUUCGACCGAUGACACAGACCCUCAGGAAUCUCCGAGCGCUACGUCGGAGAGGGACAGCGUCCGAUGGAGAACCGCGGACAGCGGUGCGCGCAUCCCCGCGAGAGACACAUCUCCGUCGGCCACGUUAUUCAAAGGCGCAGCAUCCGGCCGGGUCCGCUGCGGAUGAGCUGCGCGGGUGGGGAAACGCGCCCCGCUCGCAAGAUAGUAUUAAAAGGCCAUUAAGCGGCACGACAUGACGUACGGCUUUGUGCACGCGUGCACGAAGCCGAGAAGAAUCGCCGGCAAACGAAAGUUCUACCUGCCUGCUUGCCUGCCUGCUUGCCACUCGCCCCCCCUCGCCCUGCAUCAGGAAGAAGGCAUCCAGGAUACGUGUGUAGCAACAAGGAGAAAAAUGAGAGGAGGAAAGAGAGGCGUAAUAUCUCAUAUACAUGUAUAGUUCACUGCGAAAUCUCAUCACGGCAUGGCACGACUCGACAUGUUAAGGACUCUAUACCGAAAUGCUGAACGAAACGCGCACGUUCGUUGGAUCAUUAAUCGUCGUUAUCACGACGACAAAGCGAAAUUAGUGGCCGCGCCUAGCACGGCUGAGGAAAAUUAGGGAAGAUUAACGUGCAUUACCUGCGUUCCGUUACACACGUCUACGGUACGGUAGAAUGAUACGAGGCGUGAUACGAGGUGCAAAUAUAUACUUCGCGCGUGAAUCUUAAUGUUCACGGGUCUACACUUUCGAUGCGUCACCUUGUGCUUAGUUUUACUGGUAGCUUUAUUUAUACCAGCGUAUUGUCUCACUUAAUUGCCGGCACUCUCAUUCGCACCAAUGAGACCGCGGAUGCAUCCAAAUUAUCCGGUUCUUUAUUUAUAUAUUUCAAAUCGUUUACCUUUUUACUUAAUUAUGCGCAUUCAAACGUGCUAUCUCGUCUACGAUCAACAUUUUUUUCUGCACGACGCAAGAUUCCAACUUCAAUUUACCGAAUUUCGACGGCUGGAUGCAUUUUGUAUUCCAAUAGGAGUAAUAAACUAUUGUAGUUAGCCAAGACAUGACAGAAACUCAUGAAUAUUCUUCCUUUGUUAUAACCCUAGUGUUUUCCCUCUUCUCUAUUCAUAACUGCAUGCAAUUAAAUAGCAAUUUAACUCACUAAUUACAACUUAACUCUCUGUUAUAACAGCGCAGACUACCAGUUAUUAAAUAACGACAAAUAUUAAGUAAAGUAUUAGCAUGAAAAUAGCUUAUGUAACAAGUUGAAUGGAUUUUCAGGAGUGCCGGCAGCAAACGACACAGGCCAGAUUCAUGCAUGUGGAUAGUCACAAACCGUUCUAAAAUUCAAUUCCAAUUCCAUUGCAAUAAAAUAGAAUAAAAAGCACUCGAAUGUAAC